Molecule: long non-coding RNA, 720 nt
Organism: Pezoporus flaviventris
Lineage: Eukaryota; Metazoa; Chordata; Aves; Psittaciformes; Psittacidae
Exons: 4
Source: RefSeq, a predicted model, not a curated record
CGCCCAGCUGGUGUUUUAAGCUUAGACGGCCCUUUGUGUGGACGGGAACCCUAAUCAAAGAGCAUUGUUUUGUGAGACACUUAAGGGAAGGCACGGUAUCUUCAUUUUGUUCUUAAGUGUGAACUUUUAAUGCCCUCUGAUACCUAAUGAGCUAUCACAGGCUUUCUGGUAUUUAAACCACUCUUAAAGUCCACCUUCUUUCAAGACUUUCUUAAUGCACAGCUCGAAGUUUCAGCCUUAUAAAGUCAGUAUUUAAUAGUUUUUUGCACUCAGUCCACGUUUACACGAGAUCAAAACAACAAGGCAGUCAUUAGCCAGAGAAUUAAGCUUACUCAUCAGAGAGCAGAAAUCACCAAUGUUCCAAUACGCUGCCUCCAGUGGAUUUAUGUGGCUAUGUAAUGGAAAUUAGCAAGAAAUUGCUGUGUAUUUUCAGAGACUACAUGGACCUCAGGAGAAGAGUCUAUUUCCCCCUGAUUGCUGUAUCAGGUACCUGACUGGAUCACCCUACAUCUUUAGAAUACCCAUGCUCUAAGUUUGGAGGGAAGCCAGAAUAUGUGUAUGUCUUGGGGAGUGCAGCGGUAAAAGCAUACACGUCUUAUUCCAGAAGUUGAGAAGUGCUUUUGUGUUACAGAGUUCUCAUUUCUGUAAUGAAAAGCAAACUAUCCAAAACAAGUAAAAGAUAUUAUUGUAAUCCUCAUAAAGAUAAAAGGUGUUAGCUAU